GAUGAACGCUGGCGGCGUGCCUAAUACAUGCAAGUCGAACGCAUUGUGGUUGAAAUGAUAUGAAGAACUUGUUCAGAUUUGAUUUUCAACAUUGCAAUGAGUGGCGAACGGGUGAGUAACACGUGGGAAACCUACCUCUUAGCAGGGGAUAACAUUUGGAAACAAAUGCUAAUACCGUAUAAUAAUUAAAACCGCAUGGUUUUAGUUUAAAAGAUGGUCUUGCUAUCACUAAGAGAUGGUCCCGCGGUGUAUUAGUUAGUUGGUGAGGUAAUGGCUCACCAAGACAAUGAUACAUAGCCGAGUUGAGAGACUGACCGGCCACAAUGGGACUGAGACACGGCCCAUACUCCUACGGGAGGCAGCAGUAGGGAAUCUUCCACAAUGGACGAAAAGUCUGAUGGAGCAACGCCGCGUGUGUGAUGAAGGGUUUCGGCUCGUAAAACACUGUUGUAAGAGAAGAAUGACAUUGAGAGUAAACUGUUCAAAUGUGUGACGGUAU
This 499-nucleotide ribosomal RNA is filed under the name uncultured bacterium. RNAcentral's name for it is "bacterial SSU rRNA". It matches the Rfam family "Bacterial small subunit ribosomal RNA", at positions 28 to 478 of the family's 1533-position model. The record is from RNAcentral.